This 515-nucleotide ribosomal RNA is filed under the name uncultured bacterium. Its description in RNAcentral is "partial 16S ribosomal RNA". It matches the Rfam family "Bacterial small subunit ribosomal RNA", at positions 28 to 523 of the family's 1533-position model. The record is from RNAcentral.
GAUGAACGCUGGCGGCGUGCCUAAUACAUGCAAGUCGAGCGAAUGGAUUAAGAGCUUGCUCUUAUGAAGUUAGCGGCGGACGGGUGAGUAACACGUGGGUAACCUGCCCAUAAGACUGGGAUAACUCCGGGAAACCGGGGCUAAUACCGGAUAACAUUUUGAACCGCAUGGUUCGAAAUUGAAAGGCGGCUUCGGCUGUCACUUAUGGAUGGACCCGCGUCGCAUUAGCUAGUUGGUGAGGUAACGGCUCACCAAGGCAACGAUGCGUAGCCGACCUGAGAGGGUGGUCGGCCACACUGGGACUGAGACACGGCCCAGACUCCUACGGGAGGCAGCAGUAGGGAAUCUUCCGCGAUGGACGAAAGUCUGACGGGGCAACGCCGCGUGAGUGAUGAAGGCUUUCGGGUCGUAAAACUCUGUUGUUAGGGAAGAACAAGUGCUAGUUGAAUAAGCUGGCACCUUGACGGUACCUAACCAGAAAGCCACGGCUAACUACGUGCCAGCCGCCGCAGUAA